CUCCUGGAUAAGUGGGCUGGCAGAUAAUAACAGCAUGCGGAUGAGCAAAUUGUACAUCAAGAAGUGGUCAAACAAGAGAGUGUCUCCUUCACCUCUACAUCUGAUAAUCUAUUCUGAAGAGAGAAUCUAUAAGCUACGAACUUAUGAAUCUUACAAGAUGAUUCAUUUUCCUUCCUCUCUUAUGAAGACCUGGUUGGGAAAUCAGGAGAAGCACAGAGAAUCCUGCUCCCCCUUCAGAGAGAGUUCAAGAAAGCUCACAGCAGUGAACUGUAGCAAAUGGAAACCUUGAUUUCAAUUGCAACACAUUCUUGGGAUUCAUGGAAGUAAUAUGCACAUAGGAGUGCCAGGAACCUGCUAGACAUCGCCUGUGCUUUGCCCUGUAUUUGGAAGCCCAUUGGGAAAUUUGAAAAGGUCUGAGAAGAAUCAUCCCGUCUGUUAAGUGAUAAUUUGAGAAGAAAGAAACAUCGUCCUUGAAGUGCAGAGAGUUGCUUCUCUCUUGACACCUUAGAGGCAAGUCCAGGGAGCAGAAUUAAGUGACAGUAAAAGGAAAAGAUCACAUGUAUCACAGGAAUGAGAAAUCCUUAUGGCUAAGUCAGCUUUCCACAGUUAGGCUACACUUUGAUGUUGGCAAAAGUUUCCCUAGUGGGAGAGACAUAGGGAAAAGGGCAGAGGAAUAAAGAGACAGCUUCACUUACCCAGUCUAAGUAAAGAGGUGAACAGUUCAUCCAUCUAAUAUUUAAUAUGGGCUUCUCUUGUGAAGAGCUGGAAAUGCAUUUAUUAAAGUCUGCAUAAGCAGUUGAGUUAUAACCUCCAAAAUAAACUGGAAGAAAUAAAGGAAAAGAAACUGACUUACUGAAAAGUUUAUAAGCCCUCACAGAGAGCCAAGCUGCAAACAAGAAUCCAUGCAGAGCUGAAGGGAUGUCUCCGGGGGAUUAGUUGCAGAAUUGUUUUCUCUAGUGGAUGCUGUAGUGUAUGGACCGAUUCCUCCAUUGAUGGCCAAACUACUCAUUCCCCCACCUGCUGAGAAUCAGAGUGUGGACGGCUGAUGACUCAUGACUGAGUUCCUUACCAGGAAUUAACCUUGACUGGGCCCAAGUGUAUGCUCCCUGUCUGGGUUCAAAUUAAAAUCCAAAACGUAGUCUAUGUGGGAGUACAGAUACCCAGUCAUCAUGUCUCAGUUUGGGGCAGCUCUGAUGGGUCCUCCCAGUUCUAGAACCAGCUGUAGUCUUUAUUGUAAUGGCAUCAUAGUUCAGCUUGCCCUUGCCUAAUUCUGCUGCCUUCCUUUCUUCACUGGUGUUCUUUCCCAAACAACUCGGGAAUAAAUUCCCUGCAUGCAAAUCUUUGCCUCCAAGUCGGUUUUCUCUGAAACUAGACCUCAGAAACUUCAACAUAGUGAAACUCAUAGUGAA
This 1409-nucleotide long non-coding RNA is filed under the name Homo sapiens (human). RNAcentral's name for it is "HSALNT0386478". The record is from RNAcentral. Lineage: Eukaryota; Metazoa; Chordata; Mammalia; Primates; Hominidae.